GGUGCUGUUUGACAAGUAUGUGGAGGAUGAUAGAGUGCUGGAUACAGCAGACCUUGAUGUAGAGCUGCUUCUCGUUGGCUUAGCAGAACUCUCUCUCUCUGAUUGUGACAGAGAUAACUGGAAAAAGAAUUCCUGCUUCACUAGUCCAAAUUGGACAUGGAAUUCCUGGUCCUUCACAUCAACAGAUUAUAUGUACGCAAAUAACACUCCCUCGGAUAGGCUCCAUCGAUUGUUUGUUGCUAAGUCUCAAUAAUGACAUAAUGGCAGUUUGAUGCUCAGGAUGAUACUGAUUGCUAUUGCACAUGAUCCAGUAUUAACCCAGUGGCUACUGAUGAAGGCCACAAGGCCCCUCAAUGAACUGGAUGACAGUAUAUAUUUUAGAACAAAGAUACACCACAUGCAUGAGGCAGAGAAAGGGGGAAACUUUCCGUAUGAGAAGGAGAUCAAAGUAAGAUUGUCCUGUGGUGGUAUAUAUUAAACAUUAUGUUUGAUGUAGAUGCCAAGAAGGACCACUCGCAAAUGUGGGUCAGAGGAAGCAGUUCAUGUUUCAGAACCCACCAAAAGUGUCAAGUUUUGCAGGACAAGAGGCAAAAGUGAACUAGAACAGGGCAUGUGAGAACAGCCCGUAAUCAAAGACUAGAUCUUGAAAGAAGUGUUUGGUCCAUUUACUCCGCAUGGAAACAAGGACAGACAAUUACAUGAAGCCCUUGCAAGAAUCAAGAUCUAACGCCCAGUGGGUCCUUCUGUGAGUGCAACCACUCACCAACACCUACUAGAAAAUUAGUCCGAGGUGCCUCAGUUCAAGUUAUUUUGCCUCCAAACACAGUUGCUGCAAUGCAAGUAUUGUCAUGUCCAUCAACAUAUUCAGUUUAAGACUGGAGUUAUUUUUUGUGGCUGGGUUGUGAUCCCACCGAAAUAGUUCCGUUUCAUACACUGUUGGAGAAGAACCCUUUUAUGUAAAUUUUUUUUUGCUGAAGUUGAUAUUUAGAAAUAGUUCCGUUUCAAAAAUAUUUGUCAAAGUGAUAUGAUGCCGAUUGAUACAGUGUAUCUGGAACUUGUUCUCAGGGAUAGGGUGUUCAAUUCAAAGUUUUUC
This is a long non-coding RNA of Zingiber officinale, 1093 nucleotides long. RefSeq lists it as uncharacterized. The record is from RefSeq and is a predicted model, not a curated record. NCBI's taxonomy places the organism in Eukaryota, Viridiplantae, Streptophyta, Magnoliopsida, Zingiberales, Zingiberaceae. The transcript is spliced from 4 exons.